AUUGAACGCUGGCGGCAUGCCUUACACAUGCAAGUCGAACGGUAACAGGUCUUCGGAUGCUGACGAGUGGCGAACGGGUGAGUAAUACAUCGGAACGUGCCCGAUCGUGGGGGAUAACGGAGCGAAAGCUUUGCUAAUACCGCAUAAGAUCUAAGGAUGAAAGCAGGGGACCGCAAGGCCUUGCGCGAACGGAGCGGCCGAUGGCAGAUUAGGUAGUUGGUGGGGUAAAGGCUUACCAAGCCUACGAUCUGUAGCUGGUCUGAGAGGACGACCAGCCACACUGGGACUGAGACACGGCCCAGACUCUACGGGAGGCAGCAGUGGGAAUUUGGACAAUGGGCGCAGCUGAUCCAGCCAUGCCGCGUGCAGAAGGCCUUCGGGUUGUAAACUGCUUUUGUACGGACGAAAAGACUUUCUAUAAAGGGGGUUCAUGACGGUACCGUAAGAUAAGCACCGGCUAACUACGUGCCAGCAGCCGCGGUAAUACGUAGGGUGCGAGCGUUAAUCGGAAUUACUGGGCGUAAAGCGUGCGCAGGCGGUGAUGUAAGACAGAUGUGAAAUCCCCGGGCUCAACCUGGGAACUGCAUUUGUGACUGCAUCGCUGGAGUGCGGCAGAGGGGGAUGGAAUUCCGCGUGUAGCAGUGAAAUGCGUAGAUAUGCGGAGGAACACCGAUGGCGAAGGCAAUCCCCUGGGCCUGCACUGACGCUCAUGCACGAAAGCGUGGGGAGCAAACAGGAUUAGAUACCCUGGUAGUCCACGCCCUAAACGAUGUCAACUGGUUGUUGGGUCUUCACUGACUCAGUAACGAAGCUAACGCGUGAAGUUGACCGCCUGGGGAGUACGGCCGCAAGGUUGAACUCAAAGGAAUUGACGGGGACCCGCACAAGCGGUGGAUGAUGUGGUUUAAUUCGAUGCAACGCGAAAAACCUUACCCACCUUUGACAUGGACGGAAUCCUUUAGAGAUAGAGGAGUGCUCGAAAGAGAGCCGUAACACAGGUGCUGCAUGCUGUCGUCAGCUCGUGUCGUGAGAUGUUGGGAAGUCCCGCAACGAGCGCAACCUUGCAUAGUGCUACGAAAGGGCACUCUAAUGGACUGGGUGACAAACCGGAGAAGGUGGGGAUGACGUCAAGUCCUCAUGGCCCUUAUAGGUGGGGCUACACACGUCAUACAAUGGCUGGUACAGAGGGUUGCCAACCCGCGAGGGGGAGCCAAUCCCAUAAAGCCAGUCGUAGUCCGGAUCGCAGUCUGCAACUCGACUGCGUGAAGUCGGAAUCGCUAGUAAUCGCGGAUCAGAAUGUCGCGGUGAAUACGUUCCCGGGUCUUGUACACACCGCCCGUCACACCAUGGGAGCGGGUUCUGCCAGAAGUAGUUAGCCUAACCGCAAGGAGGGCGAUUACCACGGCAGGGUUCGUGACUGGGGUG
This 1425-nucleotide ribosomal RNA is filed under the name uncultured bacterium. RNAcentral's name for it is "bacterial SSU rRNA". It matches the Rfam family "Bacterial small subunit ribosomal RNA". The record is from RNAcentral.